AACAAGCAUUAAGUUAAAUACCCAUAAAGUUUUCACACUAGGGUUGGAUCACAACCCUAGUAAAAAUCUAGCUACUCAUGCUUGAGAUUGAAGAAAUAGAAGAAGAAAUGAUAAAUAAACUCAUAUUGUGAAAUCAAAAUGAUAAAAUCUAUGUUAAAAUAUCCCAAAAUAUGAAAAACUACUAAAAGAAGUAAAGAGAAACGCCUAUUGUAGCUACUGAUGUCAAAAGUUGACCUAAUUUCGUGAAACUCUUCUAUUUAUAUAAAGCUGAUAAUUUCGGACAAAAAUACCCCUCGGGAGGUUCUGUGGCCGCACAAUUUCAUGUGCGGUCCGCAUAUUUCUUCAACUUAUCAGGACUUGGAGGUCUGCGGCCGCAUAAUUCUGAUAUGCGGCCGCGAAGCAAUCUUUCUGCAGUCCGCAGAUUUGUAACUGCGGUUGCAACUUGGUUCUGCGGUCCGCACUUUUACUUCUGCGGCCGCACAAUUCUUGUGCGGUCCGCACUUCUAAGGGACUUGAAACUUGAGAAUUUGCACAUUCUCUGAACUUUGUUCCUAGCCCAGGUUUUGCGGUUGCACAAUUCAUGUGCGGUCCGCACUUUGUGAGCUUAUGGCAGUGCCUUUUAUUGCCUUUGGUGUAGAUUACUCCUUUUUGAGUUGGAUUUCAUAUCGGGAGUCCAUCUUCCAAUAUUCCUGCAGUUUAGCACAUUUCAUCAGUUUCGGAAACACAAUUCAAUACUUUUAGACUAAAACAAAAGUCAAAAUGUGCUAAUAAGUAGUUAAAAUCCCCACUUAUCAUAGACAAUGAUAAUUUUCAAUUUCUUUGCUGACAAGGUUAAGCAUUGAGACAAUCCACGCGCAAUUUUGCAGGCAUGACGUGGUUGCCUUCUACUUGUCUGAUAAAAAUGCAGACUUGAGCUUUAAAAUUCUGGUAACCGAACCCGAGUCCUCUUGUUCUUGGAAAUCUAUUUAUGUUUGGUUGAAAUUUUAGCCCAAGCUUCAUGCCAAAAGAAUGAGAUGUUAGAGAAGAUGGGUGCCUUUUCUUCUUCAGUAAGGACAUGAUUUCAAAACCAAAAUACUUCGCUCUCUCAUUGGAUGUGGUUGACAGAUAUAUGGAUAGAAUUGUUUUUGAUUUCAUGUAAACCCAAAAUCAAUCUAUGGAUUUAUAUACAAUCGUUUCUGUUAUAACGGGUAAGGAGUAAGAAAAAAAUAUAGAAGAAAUUAAAGGUAAAGGAAAUGAAAAAGAAAAGAGAAAAAGUAGAGAAGAUAUUCAUGGAAGUUGAGUCCACUCGUUUAAGUUUUGUUUUUUAAAGAACUAAAUUAGGUCAGAGUUAUG
RNAcentral lists this long non-coding RNA (1332 nucleotides) under Nicotiana tabacum (common tobacco). Its description in RNAcentral is "long non-coding RNA (NTAB_LNC018447)". The record is from RNAcentral. Lineage: Eukaryota; Viridiplantae; Streptophyta; Magnoliopsida; Solanales; Solanaceae.